GAUGAACGCUGGCGGCGUGCCUAAUACAUGCAAGUCGAGCGAACGGACGAGGAGCUUGCUUUUCGGAUGUGAGCGGCGGACGGGUGAGUAACACGUGUAUAACCUACCUAUAAUACUGGUAUAACUUCGGGAAACCGGAUCUUAUACGGGAUGAGAUUUUGAAGCGCAGUGUGCAAAAGUGAAAUACGGUCUUGGUGUCACUUAUAGAUGGAUCCGCGCUGCAUGAGCUGGUUGUGAAGGUAACGGGUUAUCAAGGCAACGAUGCAUAGCCGACGUGAGAGGCUGAUAGCCCACACUGGAACUGGGCCGCGGACCAGACUCCUACGAGAGGGAGCAGUAGGGAAUCUUCCGCAAUGGGCGAAAGCCUGACGGAGCAACGCCGCGUGAGUGAUGAAGGUCUUCGGAUCGUAAAACUCUGUUAUUAGGGAAGAACCGAUGUGUAAGUAACUGUGCACAUCUUGACGGUACCUAAUCAGAAAGCCACGGCUAACUACGUG
Molecule: ribosomal RNA, 497 nt
Filed under: uncultured bacterium
Lineage: Bacteria
Description: partial 16S ribosomal RNA
Rfam family: Bacterial small subunit ribosomal RNA
Source: RNAcentral